GAUGAACGCUAGCGGCAGGCCUAAUACAUGCAAGUCGUGGGGCAGCGCAGGUAGCAAUACUGGGCGGCGACCGGCAAACGGGUGCGGAACACGUACACAACCUUCCGAGAAGUGGGGAAUAGCCCAGAGAAAUUUGGAUUAAUACCCCGUAACAUAACGAUGUGGCAUCACAUUGUUAUUAUAGCUUCGGCGCUUCUUGAUGGGUGUGCGGCUGAUUAGAUAGUUGGCGGGUAACGGCCCACCAAGUCUACGAUCAGUAGCUGAUGUGAGAGCAUGAUCAGCCACACGGGCACUGAGACACGGGCCCGACUCCUACGGGAGGCAGCAGUAAGGAAUAUUGGUCAAUGGAUGGAAGUCUGAACCAGCCAUGCCGCGUGCAGGAAGAAGGCCUUCUGGUUGUAAACUGCUUUUGCCAGGGGAUAAAUGACCUUGCGAGGUUAAUUGAAGGUACCUGGUGAAUAAGCCACGGCUAACUACGUGCCAGCA
This 486-nucleotide ribosomal RNA is filed under the name uncultured bacterium. RNAcentral describes it as "bacterial SSU rRNA". It matches the Rfam family "Bacterial small subunit ribosomal RNA", at positions 28 to 513 of the family's 1533-position model. The record is from RNAcentral.